GACGAACGCUGGCGGCGUGCCUAAUACAUGCAAGUCGAACGCAGUGGGGACGGGUGAUUAACACGUGGGUAACCUCCCAUCAGAGGGGAUAACACUUGGCAACAGGUGCUAAACCGAUACUGAUGGAUGGACUCGGGGUGCAUUAGCUAGUUGGUGAGGUAACGGCUCACCAAGGCCACGAUGCAUAGCCGGCCUGAGAGGGUGAUCGGCCACACUGGGACUGAGACACGGCCCAGACUCCUACGGGAGGCAGCAGUGGGGAAUAUUCGGCAAUGGGCGAAAGUCUGACCGAGCAACGCCGCGUGAGUGAAGAAGGUUUUCGGGUCGUAAAGCUCUGUUGUUGGAGAAGCGGUAUCUAACCAAAAAGCCACGGCUAACUACGUGCCAGCAGCCGCGGUAAUUC
Molecule: ribosomal RNA, 403 nt
Filed under: uncultured bacterium
Lineage: Bacteria
Description: partial 16S ribosomal RNA
Rfam family: Bacterial small subunit ribosomal RNA
Source: RNAcentral